RNAcentral lists this long non-coding RNA (340 nucleotides) under Actinidia chinensis (golden kiwifruit). Its description in RNAcentral is "long non-coding RNA (ACHI_LNC004592)". Lineage: Eukaryota; Viridiplantae; Streptophyta; Magnoliopsida; Ericales; Actinidiaceae. The record is from RNAcentral.
CUGGCAACAAAUCAAUCAUUGGUUGGGCAUUACACGAGCUAUGAACACUUUGAAAGCUGCUGUGCAAUGGACAAUUAAAGAGGCUAGAGGCACUGGGGUUCAGGCUAAAGCUAAGCAGAUUGGCCUUGCAUGCACAGUAUAUUACCUUUGAGAGGCUCAAAAUGAGAGGAUCUUUGAAGGCAAUAUCAAAAAACCGGAAGCCAUUGUUAGGCGCAUUAAAAACCAGGCGUACAGAGUAAUUUACAAUCUUUAUCCAGACUUGAGCGGCCUCUGGUGGACUGAUAGGGGUUGAGAUGGGAUAUUCUUAUGCAGCUUGUCUUAUUGUCUUCCUUUCCUUGUG